GAUCUGUUCGUCUAAUGGCUGAGGACGCGGGGCUUUCUACCUCGUAAUAUGGGUUCGAAUCCCAUACAGAUCA
This 73-nucleotide transfer RNA is filed under the name Sphingobacteriales bacterium. RNAcentral's name for it is "tRNA-Glu". It matches the Rfam family "tRNA". Rfam says of the family: Transfer RNA (tRNA) molecules are approximately 80 nucleotides in length. Their secondary structure includes four short double-helical elements and three loops (D, anti-codon, and T loops). Lineage: Bacteria; Pseudomonadati; Bacteroidota; Sphingobacteriia; Sphingobacteriales. The record is from RNAcentral.